GUGGGGAAUAUUGGACAAUGGGCGAAAGCCUGAUCCAGCCAUGCCGCGUGAGUGAUGAAGGCCUUAGGGUUGUAAAGCUCUUUCAGUAGGGAAGAUAAUGACGGUACCUACAGAAGAAGCCCCGGCUAACUUCGUGCCAGCAGCCGCGGUAAUACGAAGGGGGCUAGCGUUGUUCGGAUUUACUGGGCGUAAAGCGCACGUAGGCGGAUUGGUCAGUUAGAGGUGAAAUCCUGGAGCUCAACUCCAGAACUGCCUUUAAUACUGCCAGUCUAGAGUCCAGAAGAGGUGAGUGGAACUCCUAGUGUAGAGGUGGAAUUCGUAGAUAUUAGGAAGAACACCAGUGGCGAAGGCGGCUCACUGGUCUGGUACUGACGCUGAGGUGCGAAAGCGUGGGGAGCAAACAGGAUUAGAAACCCGAGUAGUCC
This 425-nucleotide ribosomal RNA is filed under the name uncultured bacterium. RNAcentral describes it as "bacterial SSU rRNA". It matches the Rfam family "Bacterial small subunit ribosomal RNA", at positions 354 to 796 of the family's 1533-position model. The record is from RNAcentral.